AGCUUGCUCUUUCCGGAAUUGAGUGGCAAACGGGUGAGUAACACGUAAACAACCUGCCUUCAGGAUGGGGACAACAGACGGAAACGACUGCUAAUACCGAAUAAGUUCCAAGAGCCGCAUGGCCCAUGGAAGAAAAGGUGGCCUCUACCUGUAAGCUAUCGCCUGAAGAGGGGUUUGCGUCUGAUUAGCUGGUUGGAGGGGUUACGGCCCACCAAGGCGACGAUCAGUAGCCGGUCUGAGAGGAUGAACGGCCACACUGGAACUGAGACACGGUCCAGACUCCUACGGGAGGCAGCAGUGGGGAAUCUUCCGCAAUGGGCGAAAGCCUGACGGAGCAACGCCGCGUGAGUGAUGACGGCCUUCGGGUUGUAAAACUCUGUGAUCCGGGACGAAAAGGCAGAGUGCGAAGAACAAACUGCAUUGACGGUACCGGAAAAGCAAGCCACGGCUAACUACGUGCCAGCAGCCGCGGUAAUACGUAGGUGGCAAGCGUUGUCCGGAAUUAUUGGGCGUAAAGCGCGCGCAGGCGGCUUCCCAAGUCCCUCUUAAAAGUGCGGGGCUUAACCCCGUGAUGGGAAGGAAACUGGGAAGCUGGAGUAUCGGAGAGGAAAGUGGAAUUCCUAGUGUAGCGGUGAAAUGCGUAGAGAUCAGGAAGAACACCGGUGGCGAAGGCGACUUUCUGGACGAAAACUGACGCUGAGGCGCGAAAGCGUG
Molecule: ribosomal RNA, 714 nt
Filed under: uncultured Peptococcaceae bacterium
Lineage: Bacteria; Bacillati; Bacillota; Clostridia; Eubacteriales; Peptococcaceae
Description: bacterial SSU rRNA
Rfam family: Bacterial small subunit ribosomal RNA
Source: RNAcentral